GAUGAUAUUUCCGAAGUUGUACUAAAUACCCACUAUUUGGGCUAUGACGAAACCCACCAUAUAAAUUUCCUCUGACUACAGUGGGUGGGGUACGAAAAAAUCGGCGUCUGCGGUUGUGUCAUCGUUUUGUGAGAAAUCAGAUUUUUUUGGAUUGAAGUUGGGCAUUUUCUAUGAGUGAAUAGCUUUGAUCGAUUUCUUCUGAUAUGAUGGUUUUAGACUUUGAGUGAGUGAAUAGUAUUGAUCGAAG
RNAcentral lists this long non-coding RNA (247 nucleotides) under Panax ginseng (ginseng). RNAcentral's name for it is "long non-coding RNA (PGIN_LNC002214)". The record is from RNAcentral. Lineage: Eukaryota; Viridiplantae; Streptophyta; Magnoliopsida; Apiales; Araliaceae.